ACGUACGAUAGCUAAUUUUUAACUCUUCAUGUUUUUCUGUUGGCAGGCAACGUGUUGGACCUUCCGGAGCUUCUCAGAAGACAGAGGGUUUUCUUUUGAGACAAAUCAACUCAAUCAAAGAAACCAACUCAAUCAAAGAAAGAUGGGUCUACAUACAACAAAACUGAACAAAAUCUGCAAGAAGAGUGAUUCAUACAUGGGCUAUUGAGGCAACAUGAAAUGGACAUUAAUUGACUAAGUAAAAAACAGAUUUCUUGAAGAAUUAAUAAAGAACUUUUGUUUUGGAAGUUCUCUAUUGUUUAAAAUUAGCCAGAUGUGGUGGCCUGCACCUACAGUCCCAGCUACUCAGGAGGCUGAGGUGGAAGGAUCACUUGAGCCCAAGAGGCGGAGGUUGCAGUGAGCUGAGACUGUG
Molecule: long non-coding RNA, 412 nt
Filed under: Homo sapiens (human)
Lineage: Eukaryota; Metazoa; Chordata; Mammalia; Primates; Hominidae
Description: HSALNT0359090
Source: RNAcentral